CUGGCGGCUAAUGAGUUACCACGGGCUGUAUGCGGUAAAUUGCACGCUAAUGUUAGCUAACUUGCUAACCUCUAUGGGAAAUUAUAGGGGUAAGCUAACAGGCUAGAAAAGCAGUGGAAACCGGAUAUGCAGUAGUGCCCUUGCCUUACGAAAGUCGGAACAAACUUUUAAAUUAGGCCUUGUAGAUCUAAUAUGAGUGAAGAAUUCAGCUAUUGGAUUGCUUAUUUCUCAUCUCAAAUUUGUUCACAAAGAGAUUUUGGCGGACUGCUAGGGUGAAACAAGUGAACGUUUACGUAGCCUACCUCAUACAACAGAACCCUACUACGUAUGCUCAAAACCCAUUGGCUCACAGAACCAGUGGCCUCAGGAGGGAGGACUGCAAUUGGAUCCUUCUCCACCCAUCGCCGGGCACGAUCCUCAGAAAAUGAAGGCUCACUAGCUGUGUUAGCUAAUGCUGGAACCCAGAAACAAAUAUCUAUGAUCUAUUGUUUGUUUGAUAAUCUAAUCAAAGAACACAUUUUCUUGCAGUGGCCUUUCUAAAAUGAGCAGUGGUAAAAGUUAUUAUAUUCUGUUAUGAUCAAGUAGUUGACAAGCAGACAGUGUUAGCUAAUGCUAGCUAGUUGAAAAGUUGUUGUACAAAACAUAUGAUGGAUGGAGCAGGAGUUUAUAAUACUGUGAAGUGAUUCGCUGAAUUAAAAAGUGAUUGUCAACUGGUUCAGGCAGCGCAUUGGUGAAAUUAGUUUUUGACUGACAGUGGAUUGUAAGCCUCUGACUGGCCAAAUAAAAAAAAUGAUUGGCAGUUACCAUGCCCUCUCAACGUCUCUGGUCUGCAGAGAUACAAACUUGAGUCCAGUGGCCUUCACACACACAAACAAUUCAUGGAAGUGCGCAAGAGGAUGCACGUGUUUGCGCGCGUGGUUAGAAAAUUCCAGUUUUAGUAAUAGAAUGGUCCAUCUAAAGUAACGGUAUCCCUAAAACGUUAGCUUUAAAACUAUUCACCUAAAAAAUUGUAAAAGCUUGGCCACUACAGCCACCACCAAAAUACAGAGGGACAGUUUUUAGCAAAUGUUAGCUAAGAUAAUGUUAGCUUAAAAAUGAUUAGAUUAACAUUAAGAUAAUGCAAUUAAAACAAUGUUUAAUGUUCGCUAAAGGCUAAAGUUAGCCAAAAAUUGUAGUUUGUCAUCAGACAAACAUCCAAAAGUUGGAUCCGUGUAUUCAUAAUAAAUAUUGAGGGCCAUGCAAAUUAAGGGAGUUUUCCAGGAGAAACAACAAAACGGGAGGGCGUUGGGAGAUGGCCUUGAAAUACGGGAGAAACCCAGGAAAAACUGGAGCGUUGGCAGGUCUAUGUCCUAUUUGACUUCCACAAAGACUGACUUUCCCACUCAUGGUCUGGGAAAAAUAAAUGGACUGAUGACUGCAACGCCCACAGCAGAAAGCAAAAAGCACACUGCAAAAUGCUUAUGGAGGACCUGCCAUGUCACAUUUUGGAAACUUUCUGUGUUUGGGAUUAUCUGAGCAAAGCGGCUGCAGUAAAGUCCAUCCACUCCUCCUGGCUCGGGAAUGUUGGCAAGCUGCGCCGAUCCCCGAAAUGAUGUGACAAGUCGACCUCAAGUCAAG
Siniperca chuatsi (mandarin fish) is the source of this 1617-nucleotide long non-coding RNA. RefSeq lists it as uncharacterized. The transcript is spliced from 3 exons. Lineage: Eukaryota; Metazoa; Chordata; Actinopteri; Centrarchiformes; Sinipercidae. The record is from RefSeq and is a predicted model, not a curated record.